This 203-nucleotide long non-coding RNA is filed under the name Carica papaya (papaya). RNAcentral describes it as "long non-coding RNA (CPAP_LNC009455)". The record is from RNAcentral. Lineage: Eukaryota; Viridiplantae; Streptophyta; Magnoliopsida; Brassicales; Caricaceae.
UAGAUCAAGGAUUCUUCUUCUUCAACAUCAUUUGGGAGGAACGAAUUGGGAUGAGUUUCAUGAAACUCAGUAAGGAAAAUAACAUUAUAAUCAUACUCAUAACAUUUUAGAGAUUACUUAAGACGCAUUAGUGAAAACAUGUUUACCAUUUAAAUGCCUUGCCUGGGUUUUUGAGACUGCUGAAAAUUUCAUAGUAACAUACU